RNAcentral lists this small nuclear RNA (107 nucleotides) under Microcebus murinus (gray mouse lemur). Lineage: Eukaryota; Metazoa; Chordata; Mammalia; Primates; Cheirogaleidae. The record is from RNAcentral.
GUGCUAGUUUUGGCAGCACAUAUACUAAAAUUGGAACGAUACAGAGAAGAUAAUCAUGGCCCCUGCACAAAGAUGACACUCAAAUUAGUGAAGCGUUCCAUGUUUUU